Molecule: long non-coding RNA, 4392 nt
Organism: Equus caballus (horse)
Lineage: Eukaryota; Metazoa; Chordata; Mammalia; Perissodactyla; Equidae
Source: Ensembl
CUAUGACAGAUGAUGCUGAGCCCCGGAGUUGGAUGCAGUGAUCCUGCAGUGAUGUCAGUGCGCCUGCAGUGCCAAUUCAGCUGGAUGAAGUGUUGCUGCAGUGGUUGCAGUGCUCCCUGCAUUGUCCAGGAAUGUGGAUGCAGUGCCCACGCGGUGGAUGCAGUGUCCCACAAGGUGGAUGAAGUAUGUUAUGACGGAUGAUGCAGUACUCAUGAAGGUGGAUGCAGUGUCCCUGCAGUGCUUGCAGUGCCCCCCGCAUUCUCUGGGAAUGUGGAUGCAGUAGUCAUGCAGUGGAUGCAUUGUCCCACAAGGUGGAUGCAGGAUGGUGUGACAGAGGAUGCAGGGCCCCUGAAGGUGGAUGCAGUGAUGCUGCAGUGGUUGCAGUGCCCCCUACAGUUCCCUGAAUGUGGAUGCAGUGCCCAUGCAGUAGUUGCAGUGUCCCACAAGGUGGAUGUCGUAUGUUGUGAUGGAAGAUGCAGUGCCCAUGAAGGUGGAUGCAGUGUCCCUGCACUGGUUGCAGUGCAACUGGCAUUGUCCUGGAAUGUUGAUGUAGUGCCAAUGCAGUGGAUGCAGUGAAACUUCAGUGAUUGCAGUGUGCAUGCAGUGCCACUUCAGCUGUAUGCAGUGCAGCUGCAGUGGUUGCAGAACGGCCUGCCAUGUGCCUGAAUGUGGAUGCAGUGCCCAUGCAGUGGAUGCAGUGUCCCACAAGGUGCAUGCAGUAUGUUGUGAUGGAGGAUGCAGUGCCCAUGAGGGUGGAUGCAGUGAUCCGGCAGUGGUCCAGUGCACCAUGCUGUGUCCCUGAUGUGGAUGCUGUGAACAUGCAGUGGAGGCAGUGACCCUGCACUGAUUGCAGUGCAUCUGCAUUUCCACAUCAGCUGGACGCAGUGCCCCUAUAGGGGUUGCAGUGCCACCUUCUGUGUCCCUGAAGGUGAAUGCAGUGCCCAUGUAGUGAAUGUAGUGUCCCUAUAGGUUUAUGCUGUAUGUCAUGACGGAGGAUGCAGUCCGCAUGAAGGCAGUUGCAGUGUCCCUGAAGUAGUUGCUGGGCCCCCGGCAUGGUGCUGUAAUGUGGAUGCAGGGGUCAUGCAGUGGAUGCAGUGUCUCACAAGGUGGAAGCAGUAUGUUUUGUUGGAGGAUGCAGUGCCCAUGAAGGUGGAUGCAGUUAAUCUGCAGUGGUUGCAGUGCCCCCUACACUUUCCCUGAAUCUGGAUGCAGUGCCCAUGCAGUGCAUGCAGUCUCCCACAAGGUGGAUGCGGUAUGCUGUUACGGAGGAUGCAGUGCCCAUGAAGGUGGAUGCAGUGAGCCUGAAAUGAUUGCAGUGCGCUUGCAGUGCCACGUCAGCUGGAUGGAGUGUUGCCUCAGUGGUUUCAGAGCCACCUGCAGUGUCUCUCAACGUGAAUGCAGACCCCUUCCAGUGGAUUCAGUGUACCAAUAUGCAUGCAGUAUGUUGUGACGGAGGAUGCAGUGGCCAUGAUGGUGGAUGCAGUUAUCCUGCAGUGGUUGCAGUGCCCACUGCAGUUUACCUGAAUGUGGAUGCAGUGCUCAUGCAGUGGAUGCAGUGUCCCUCAAGGUUGAUGCCUUAGUGAUGUGUUUGAGGAUUCAGCGAUCAUGAGCAAGGAUGCAGUGAUCCUGCAGUCAUUGCUGUGCGACUUCAGCUGGCUGCAGUGUUCCUGCAGUGGUGGCAGUGCCCUGUUCUGUUCCCUGAAUGUGGAUGCAGUGCCCAUGCAUUGGAUGCAGAGUACCAAAAGUUGGCUGCCGUAUGUUGUGACAGACGAUGCAGAGCCAUGGAUUUGGAUGCAGUGAGCUGGCAGUGACUGCAGUAUGCCUUCAGUGCCACUUCAGCUGGAUGCAGUGUUGUUGCAGUUGUUGCAGUGCCCCCAGGAGGGUCCCUGAAUGAGAAUGCCAUGCCCUUUCAGUGGAUUCAGUGUCCCACAAGGUGGAUGCAGUAUGUUAUUACGGAUGAUGCAUUGGCCAUGAAGGAGGAUGCAGUGAUUCUGCACUGAUUGCAGUGCAUCUGCAGUGCCACUUCAUCUGGCUGCAGUGUGCCUUCAGUGGUUGCAGUGACACCUUCUGUGGCUCUGAAUAUGAAUGAAGUGCCCAUGCAGUGGAUGCAGAGUACCAAAUGAUGGAUGUGGUAUGUUGUCACAGAGGGUGCAUUGCACAUGAGGGUGCAUGCAAUGUUGCUGCACGGGUUGUCGUGACCCCAUCUGUGUCCCUCAUUGUGGAUGCAGUUGCCAUGCAGUGGAUGCAGUGUCACACAAGGCAGAUGCAGUAUGUUGUAAUGGAGCAUGCAGUGCCCAUGAAUGUGGAUGCAGUGAUCCUGCAGUGAUUGCCGUGCACCUGUAGUGCCACUUCAGCUGGAUCCAGAGUCCCUGCAGUGGUUGCAGUGCCUGUUGCCCUAUCCCAGAACGUGGUUGCAGUGCCCAUGCAAUGGCUGUAGUGUCACUGAAGGUAGAUGCAGUAUGUUGUGACAGAGGAUGCAGUGCCCAUUGAGGUGGAUGUAGUGAUCCUGCAGUGGUUUCCCAUACACUCUGUAGUUUCCCUGAAUGUGGAUGCAGUGAACAUGAAGUGGAUGCAGUGAACAUUCAGUGAUUGCGGUCAACCUGCAGUUCCGCCUCAGCUGCAUACAUUGUCCCUGCAGUCAUUGCAGUGCUGCCUGCAUUGUCUGGGAAUGUGGAUGCAGUUCGCAGGCAGUGUAUGCAGUGACACAAAAGUUCGAUGCAGUAUGUUGUGACAUAGGAUGCGGUGCCCAUGAAGGUGGAUGCAGUCAUCCUUCAGUGGUUUCCAUGUAUACUGCACUGUCCCUGAAUGUGGAGGCAGUGAACAACCAGUGGAUGCACUGAACAUUCAGUGAUUGCAGUGCACAUGCAGGGCAACUUCAGCUGUAUGCAGUGUCCCUGCUGUGGGUGCAGUGCCCAAUGCAUCAUCCGAGAAAGUGGAUGUAGUGCCCAGGCAUUGGAUACAGUGUCCAACAAGGUGCAUGCAGUAGGUUGUGAUGGAGGAUGCAGUGCCCAUGAGGGUGGAUGCAGUGAUCCGGCAGUGAUUGCAGUGCACCCUGCUGUGUCCAUGAAUGUGCAUGCUCUGAACAUGCAGUGGAUGCAGUGAUUUCAGUAUGCCUGCAUUUCCACAUCAGCUGGAAGCAGUGUCCCUGCAGGGGUUGCAGUACCGCCUUCUGUGUCACUGACGAUGAAUGCUGUGCCCAUGCAGUGGAUGCAGGGUACCUAAAGUUUUAUGCAGUAUGUUGUGACGGAGGAUGCAAUGCCGAUGCAGGGGGAUGCAGUGCCCCUCCAGUGGUUGCAGUGCCCCCGGCAUUGUCCUGAAAUGUUGAUUCAGUGCCAAGGCAGGGAAUGCAGGGAAACUUCAGUGAUUACAGUGAGCCUACAGUGACACUUCAGCAGGAUGCAGUGUAGGUGCAGUGGUUGCAGGGCCCCCUGCCAUGUCCCUGACUGUGGAUGCUGUGCCCAUGCAGUGUCUGCAGUGUGACUCAAGGUGGAUGCAGUAUGUUCUGAAGCAGGAUUCAGUGAACAUGAAGGACGAUGCAGUGAUCCUGCAGUCAUUGCAGUGCACCUGCAGUGCCACUUCAUCAGGAUCCAGAUUGCCUGCAGAGGUUACAGUGCAGCAUGCUGUGUCCCUGAAUGUGAAUGCUGUGAAGAUGCAGUGGAUGCAGUGAUCGUGCAGUGAUUGCAGUGCACCUGCAUUUCCACAUCAGCUGGAAGCAGUGUUGCAGCAGUGGAUGCAGGGCCAACUGCAGUGUCCCAGAACGUGGAUGCAGUCCCCAUGCAGUGGAUGCAGUGUCCCACAAUGUGCAUGCAGUAUAUUGUGACGCUGGAUGCAGGGCCCAUGAAGGUGGAUGCAGUGAUGCUGCAGUGGUUGCAGUGCCCCCUACAGUUCCCUGAAUGUGGAUGCUGUGAACAUGCAUUGGAUGCAGUGAUCCUACAGUGAUUGCAGUGCCCCCUACAGUUCCCUGAAUUUGGAUGCAGUGCCCAUGCAGUAGUUGCAGUGUCCCACAAGGUGGAUGUCGUAUGUUGUGAUGGAAGAUGCAGUGCCCACGGAGGUGGAUUCAGUGAGCCUGUGCUGAAUGCACUGUGCCAGCAGUGCCACCUCAGCUGGAUGCAGUGUUGCUGCAGUGGUUGCAGUGACCCCUGCAUUGUCUGGGAAUGUGGAUCCAAUGCCCAGCCAGUGGAUGCAGUGUGCCUGUGCUGAAUGCACUGCACCUGCAGUACAUCAGCUGUAUGCAGUGUCCUGGCAGUGUUUUCAGUGCUCACUGCAUCGUUCAAGAAUGUGGAUGCUGUACCCAGGCAUUGGAUGCAGUGUCCCACAAUGUGCAUGCAGUAUGUUGUGAUGGAGGAUGCAGUGCCCAUGAGGGUGGAUGCAGUGAUCUGGCAGCGGUUCCAG